ACCUCGUUUGCAUUUGGCCUCUACCACUUUAGUCAGCCUCCCUGGGCCUUGGUUUUCUCUACUGCAAGUGAGGCCCUAGUUUUCGACCCUAUUGGACUCUAUUUUCUAGUCCUUGAAAAUGCUUCUCUCUUAAUUGUGAUACGACCUUGGCUUCUUUCCUUCUUCCAUGUCAUACCUGCUUUUUUCUCUUUUCUCCUGACUCCUCUUCAGCUCACCAAUUAAAGGUUGACAUCCCCAUUGUUUUACCUCCUCCUCCUCUCCCUGGGUGAUCUUAUCCCCUCUCUGGUUUUUAACCAUUACCUGCAGGCUGAGGGCUCCCAAAUCUCUUCUUUAAUCUAGAUGUUUAUCCUAAGCUCCAGUUUCAUCUUUCCACCUGGGACCUCUCUACCUGAAUGUACUAAAGGCAUGUCAAAGUCAGUCUAAAUUGAUUCCAGAAUCUUCUUCCCUUUCUCCACAUUGUCUCCUCUUCCAGAAUAGCCAGUUCUUGGUUUACUCCUCAUCUACUCAACUGCUGAAGCCAGAAGCCUAGGAGCCCUCCUUCCCUUAUCUGGCACCCUGGUUUAAUCACCCAGGUUUAUUAAUUCUGCCUCCCAAAUAUUUUCCCUAUGUCUCCCUGCUCUCCAUCUCCAUCACCACCACUUUAGGUUAGGCCUUCAUUACUUCUUACCUAAAUUAUUACAAGAGCCUUCUUCUUGGUCCCCUGCCACCCAUUUCCAACCUAGACUCCAAGGGUUGGAAACCAUAAGAGUGUCUCACAUUUUAUGUUUUAUUAAAUAAGUAUAUAUUGAGUACUUACCAUUGCAGGCACUGUGCAGGGUGCAGGAAUGCAACAGAGAACACAACAGACAUUGUUCCUUACCACCAGUACUCACAGCGUAUGGAGGAGGAGGGAAAAGUACAGGAUAUGGAUCAUUAAGAUGCAGUGCAAUGGGGAAAGAUGGAAUAGGUGCUUGGGAACUUCUAGAAGCAUAAGCUGAGAGCUGGCUGAGUCCCAGGGUGGUCAAGGAACACUUUCUGAAGGAAAAGAAUCUCACACUCAGACUGCUCAUUGGGUGGGAAUUAAGAGAAGUGGGAGUAUGGUAGUGAAAUGCUCUCUGAUAAAUUUGAUCAUCUCAUUUCCCUGCUAAACAGACCUCUUGAGCUUUUCCACUGCUGCAGGAUAAAGUCCGAAUUCUUUACCAUGGAAUACAACCAUUGUUGCCUCAUCUUCUACCACACCCUUUCAUUUACUGUAAUCAACCUAUGCUGCUUUCAGUUCCCCAAACCCCACACUCUUUCUCAGCUCCAGGCCUUUGCACAUUUGGUUUCCUCCACCCUUGCCAUCCAAUGUCCCAUAGCCUAUCUAUCAAGCUCUGAGUCACUGACAUCAGCUGUCUCAGGAGACCUUCCCUGAUCCCGCCCAUGUAGACUUUGUGGCUCCCUCUCUUGUGUUCCCUGCCUGUGCACACACCUGGACUCACGCACAUGUCACAUUGGUAGGGCUCAUCCACAUGUCUUUCUUGCUUCUGACUGCUAUUUCAGGAUCCCAGUUCAU
RNAcentral lists this long non-coding RNA (1534 nucleotides) under Marmota monax (woodchuck). The record is from RNAcentral. Lineage: Eukaryota; Metazoa; Chordata; Mammalia; Rodentia; Sciuridae.